RNAcentral lists this ribosomal RNA (366 nucleotides) under uncultured bacterium. RNAcentral describes it as "partial 16S ribosomal RNA". It matches the Rfam family "Bacterial small subunit ribosomal RNA", at positions 338 to 696 of the family's 1533-position model. The record is from RNAcentral.
CCUACGGGAGGCAGCGGUGGGGAAUAUUGCGCAAUGGGCGAAAGCCUGACGCAGCGACGCCGCGUGAGGGAUGACGGUCUUCGGAUCGUAAACCUCUGUCAGCAGGGAAGAACGGUCACUGUGCUAAUCAGCAGUGAAUUGACGGUACCUGCAAAGGAAGCACCGGCUAACUCCGUGCCAGCAGCCGCGGUAGUACGGAGGGUGCGAGCGGUAAUCGGAAUUACUGGGCGGAAAGCGCUCGUAGGCGGUAUGUCAAGUCAAGGGUGAAAUCCCCGCGCUCAACGUGGGAACUGCAUUUGAAACUGGCAAACUGGAGUGUGUGAGAGGAGAGUGGAAUGCCAGGUGUAGUGGUGAAAUGCGUAGAUA